AACCUGCCCAAGAGAUCGGGAUAACACCUGGAAACAGAUGCUAAUACCGGAUAACAAUAGAUGAUGCCUAUCAACUGUUUAAAAGAUGGUUCUGCUAUCACUCUUGGAUGGACCUGCGGUGCAUUAGCUAGUUGGUAGGGUAACGGCCUACCAAGGCGAUGAUGCAUAGCCGAGUUGAGAGACUGAUCGGCCACAUUGGGACUGAGACACGGCCCAAACUCCUACGGGAGGCAGCCAGAG
This 240-nucleotide ribosomal RNA is filed under the name uncultured Lactobacillus sp. Its description in RNAcentral is "partial 16S ribosomal RNA". It matches the Rfam family "Bacterial small subunit ribosomal RNA", at positions 123 to 352 of the family's 1533-position model. The record is from RNAcentral. Lineage: Bacteria; Bacillati; Bacillota; Bacilli; Lactobacillales; Lactobacillaceae.